RNAcentral lists this ribosomal RNA (255 nucleotides) under uncultured bacterium. RNAcentral describes it as "partial 16S ribosomal RNA". It matches the Rfam family "Archaeal small subunit ribosomal RNA", at positions 474 to 727 of the family's 1478-position model. The record is from RNAcentral.
UACCAGCACCCCCGAGUGGUCGGGACGUUUUAUUGGGCCUAAAGCAUCCGUAGCCGGUUCUACGAGUCUUCCGUUAAAUCCAACUGCUUAACAGGUGGGCUGCGGAAGAUACUAUAGAGCUAGGAGGCGGGAGAGGCAAGCGGUACUCGAUGGGUAGGGGUAAAAUCCGUUGAUCCAUUGAAGACCACCAGUGGCGAAGGCGGCUUGCCAGAACGCGCUCGACGGUGAGGGAUGAAAGCUGGGGGAGCAAACCGG